AGGGACGUCACGAGGGUUACGACCCAUCGACUUAUCAGUUCUAGUUAGCGGUUGGUGGCUCUCGAGGUCUUAUUCCGGCUUUCUAACAGACUCUUGACAUGAAGGAAGGAGGUCAUCACUUGCAUGUGAAAUUUGUGCCUUAUGAGCAUCAUGAAGAUUGAUACCACUUCAAGAAGAUAAGAGGAAUAAGUUUGCUUGAAGAUUAAUGAAAAGUUGCACAUGGUUAGGUUAUUCCGAUUUGAUAUCUUGUGAAAGUGUGUUCUUGUUGUAAGUGUGCUUUUUUGCCUUCAUUUGUGGCUAAAGCUUGCUGGCAUAUACUUGAAUUUUUUACGAGACUUGAAUAUUGUUUGUGGGGUAUGCAUGGCAUGCAGCAAGGUUAGCAUUCUUGUGUCCGCAAUUUUGACUUGCUUCUCGAGUGAGAUGUAGGCAAAUUGGUGGAUAUUUUGCUUUACUGACAGCAUGGAUCAACGAGCAUUUUCAUAAUGUUAUUACU
Molecule: non-coding RNA, 493 nt
Organism: Malus domestica (apple)
Lineage: Eukaryota; Viridiplantae; Streptophyta; Magnoliopsida; Rosales; Rosaceae
Source: RefSeq, a predicted model, not a curated record